GUGCUGACUUCAGCAGCACAUCAAUUAAAACUGAAAAGAUAUCCAGAAGACUAACAUGCCCUCCAUACAAGGAUGACAGAUGACAUGAAAAUUCAUAAAACUUC
Molecule: small nuclear RNA, 104 nt
Filed under: Dipodomys ordii (Ord's kangaroo rat)
Lineage: Eukaryota; Metazoa; Chordata; Mammalia; Rodentia; Heteromyidae
Source: RNAcentral